This 253-nucleotide ribosomal RNA is filed under the name uncultured bacterium. Its description in RNAcentral is "partial 16S ribosomal RNA". It matches the Rfam family "Bacterial small subunit ribosomal RNA", at positions 524 to 776 of the family's 1533-position model. The record is from RNAcentral.
GAUAGAGGAUGCAAGCGUUAUCCGGAAUGAUUGGGCGUAAAGCGUCUGUAGGUGGCUUUUCAAGUCCGCCGUCAAAUCCCAGGGCUCAACCCUGGACAGGCGGUGGAAACUACCAAGCUGGAGUACAGUAGGGGCAGGGGGAAUUUCCGGUGGAGCGGUGAAAUGCAUUGAGAUCGGAAAGAACACCAACGGCGAAAGCACUCUGCUGGGCCAACACUGACACUGAGAGACGAAAUCUAGGGGAGCAAAUGGG